Molecule: ribosomal RNA, 424 nt
Filed under: uncultured Oribacterium sp.
Lineage: Bacteria; Bacillati; Bacillota; Clostridia; Lachnospirales; Lachnospiraceae
Description: bacterial SSU rRNA
Rfam family: Bacterial small subunit ribosomal RNA
Source: RNAcentral
UAGGGAAUAUUGCACAAUGGAGGAAACUCUGAUGCAGCCAUGCCGCGUGUGUGAAGAAGGCCUUCGGGUUGUAAAGCACUUUCGGAGGGGAGGAAAAAUAGACGUUACCCUCAGAAGAAGCACCGGCUAACUACGUGCCAGCAGCCGCGGUAAUACGUAGGGGGCAAGCGUUAUCCGGAUUUACUGGGUGUAAAGGGAGCGUAGACGGAACGGCAAGUUUGAAGUGAAAUACCUGGGCUUAACCCGGGAACUGCUUUGAAAACUGUCGAUCUAGAGUGUCGGAGAGGUAAGUGGAAUUCCUGGUGUAGUAGUGAAAUGCGUAGAUAUCAGGAAGAACACCGGAGGCGAAGGCGGCUUACUGGACGAUAACUGACGUUGAGGCUCGAAAGCGUGGGGAGCAAACAGGAUUAGAUACCCUGGUAGU